GUGGGGAAUAUUGGACAAUGGGCGAAAGCCUGAUCCAGCCAUGCCGCGUGUGUGAAGAAGGUCUUCGGAUUGUAAAGCACGUUAAGUUGGGAGGAAGGGCAGUAAGUUAAUACCUUGCUGUUUUGACGUUACCGACAGAAUAAGCACCGGCUAACUUCGUGCCAGCAGCCGCGGUAAUACGAAGGGUGCAAGCGUUAAUCGGAAUUACUGGGCGUAAAGCGCGCGUAGGUGGUGUUGUAAGUUGGAGGUGAAAUCCCCGGGCUCAACCUGGGAACUGCCUCCAAAACUGCAUGACUAGAGUACGGUAGAGGGUAGUGGAAUUUCCUGUGUAGCGGUGAAAUGCGUAGAUAUAGGAAGGAACACCGGUGGCGAAGGCGACUACCUGGACUGAUACUGACACUGAGGUGCGAAAGCGUGGGGAGCAAACAGGAUUAGAUACCCGGGUAGUCC
This 450-nucleotide ribosomal RNA is filed under the name uncultured bacterium. Its description in RNAcentral is "partial 16S ribosomal RNA". It matches the Rfam family "Bacterial small subunit ribosomal RNA", at positions 354 to 796 of the family's 1533-position model. The record is from RNAcentral.